GCCAGGCAUUGUGGUACAUGCCUGUAAUCCCAGAAACUCGGGAGGCUGAGGCAGGAGGAUUGCAAGUUCAAACCCAGCCUCAGCAACUCAGCAAGACUCUGUCUCUA
Molecule: small RNA, 107 nt
Filed under: Marmota monax (woodchuck)
Lineage: Eukaryota; Metazoa; Chordata; Mammalia; Rodentia; Sciuridae
Source: RNAcentral